This 448-nucleotide ribosomal RNA is filed under the name uncultured bacterium. RNAcentral's name for it is "partial 16S ribosomal RNA". It matches the Rfam family "Bacterial small subunit ribosomal RNA", at positions 29 to 523 of the family's 1533-position model. The record is from RNAcentral.
AACGAACGCUGGCGGCAUGCCUAACACAUGCAAGUCGAACGAAGCCUUCGGGCUUAGUGGCGCACGGGUGCGUAACGCGUGGGAAUCUGCCCUUUGGUUCGGAAUAACAGUUGGAAACGACUGCUAAUACCGGAUUAUGACGAAAGUCCAAAGAUUUAUCGCCAGAGGAUGAGCCCGCGUAGGAUUAGCUAGUUGGUGUGGUAAGGCGCACCAAGGCGACGAUCCUUAGCUGGUCUGAGAGGAUGAUCAGCCACACUGGGUCUGAGACACGGCCCAGACUCCUACGGGAGGCAGCAGUGGGGAAUAUUGGACAAUGGGCGAAAGCCUGAUCCAGCAAUGCCGCGUGAGUGAUGAAGGCCCUAGGGUUGUAAAGCUCUUUUACCCGGGAUGGUAAUGACAGUACCGGGAGAAUAAGCCCCGGCUAACUCCGUGCCAGCAGCCGCCGUAA